Molecule: ribosomal RNA, 250 nt
Filed under: uncultured bacterium
Lineage: Bacteria
Description: partial 16S ribosomal RNA
Rfam family: Bacterial small subunit ribosomal RNA
Source: RNAcentral
UACGUAGGGAGCAAGCGUUGUCCGGAAUCAUUGGGCGUAAAGCGCGCGUAGGCGGCCCUGUAAGUCCGUUGUGAAAGUCAAAGGCUCAACCUUUGAAAGCCGAUGGAUACUGCAGGGCUAGAGUCCGGAAGAGGCGAGUGGAAUUCCUGGUGUAGCGGUGGAAUGCGCAGAUAUCAGGAGGAACACCAAUAGCGAAGGCAGCUCGCUGGGACGGUACUGACGCUAAGGCGCGAAAGCGUGGGGAGCGAAC